This 1895-nucleotide unclassified non-coding RNA is filed under the name Hevea brasiliensis (rubber tree). Lineage: Eukaryota; Viridiplantae; Streptophyta; Magnoliopsida; Malpighiales; Euphorbiaceae. The record is from RNAcentral.
AUUUCACCUUCCUAAUUCUAUUUGUACUCCAAAAAGUGAGAAGCUUCUUCUUCUGCAUAUAUGCUUUUUUGAAAAUUUACUCUUUUCUCAGAGAGAGAGAGAGAGAGAGAGAGGGGAGAGUACUGUAAUGGUGAGAUUUGGUUAAGAAGGAAGCAAACUAUAUUUUGAUUAGUUGUUACGCGAGAAGAAGAAGAGGAAAGCAAAAGAUGGUGGUGAGGAAAGUAGGCAAGUAUGAGAUAGGGAGGACAAUCGGCGAAGGAACCUUCGCCAAAGUAAAGUUUGCGCAGAACACCGAGACUGGUGAGAGUGUGGCCAUGAAAGUGCUCGAUCGUAGCACCAUCAUCAAACACAAGAUGGUCGACCAAAUCAAGAGGGAGAUAUCCAUAAUGAAACUUGUCAGACAUCCUUAUGUAGUGCGAUUGCAUGAGGUUUUGGCGAGCCGCACAAAGAUUUAUAUAAUCUUGGAGUACAUUACUGGUGGUGAAUUGUUUGAUAAAAUAGUGCAUCACGGACGUCUUAGUGAGGCUGAAGCUAGAAGAUACUUUCAACAGCUUAUUGAUGGGGUGGAUUAUUGCCACAGUAAAGGAGUCUACCAUAGAGACUUAAAGCCUGAAAAUCUUCUACUUGAUUCACAAGGAAAUUUAAAGAUCUCAGAUUUUGGUCUUAGUGCAUUGCCUGAACAAGGAGUUAGCUUGCUGCGGACAACAUGUGGAACUCCUAACUAUGUAGCACCUGAGGUACUCGGUCACAAAGGUUAUAAUGGUGCUGUGGCAGAUGUCUGGUCCUGUGGGGUUAUUCUUUACGUUUUGAUGGCAGGAUAUCUUCCAUUUGAUGAACUUGAUCUCACCACUUUAUACAGUAAGAUCGAGAAGGCAGAGUUUUCAUGCCCUUCAUGGUUUCCAAUGGGAGCAAAAUCUUUGAUUCAUAGAAUUUUGGAUCCAAAACCUGAAACUCGUAUAACCAUUGAGCAGAUAAGGAAUGAUGAAUGGUUUAAUAAAGGCUAUGCUCCUGCAAGACUUAUUGAAUAUGAAGACGUGAACCUGGAUGAUGUAGAUGCAGCUUUUAAUGAUCCAGAGGAACAAAAGACUGAUGAACAGUGUGGGAAUGAGGAUACAGGUCCAUUGAUUCUUAAUGCAUUUGACUUGAUAAUUCUCUCUCAAGGCUUGAACCUUGCAACACUAUUUGACCGUGGAAAGGACUCUAUGAAGUAUCAAACACGCUUUGUCUCACAGAAGCCGGCAAGGGUUGUGUUAUCAAGCAUGGAAGUUGUUGCACAAUCAAUGGGUUUUAAGACACACAUUCGUAAUUACAAGAUGAGAGUGGAAGGCCUUUCUGCUAAUAAGACUUCCCAUUUCUCAGUUAUUCUAGAAGUGUUUGAAGUUGCUCCAACAUUUUUUAUGGUGGACAUUCAGAAAGCAGCUGGAGAUGCUUCCGAAUACCUCAAGUUCUACAAGAGCUUUUGUAGCANNNNNNNNNGGAAACCACCUACUGAAUCAAGCAAAUCUAAGAUCACCAAGUCAAAGAGCAGAAAACGUUGAUUUUGUUUCUUGUCAUAAUCACUCUGGCACGUGUUUAAGUGCAGUCAUGGGAAUUUCAUCCAUGCUCAAGUACCAUUCUCAGGUUUUGUUGCAGUUGCAGCUUACAAAGAUACGCCUUUAGUGUUUGUUAACAUCUCCAGACUCUCCCCGAGAGAGAAGGGGAGAAAAGGUAAAGGGAAAAUGGGAGAGAUUUAUCUAAUAUUUGUGUAAUGUUUUUAAAUCUUUAUUGAUCUAGCCUGUUUAAUCUCCUAGCAUGGGUACUAGUCGAGAGUGUGAAUUGAAAGUUUUCAAUGAGAUUAUAACUUGUAAAACCUACAAUCUUUGGAUCAACUGUAAACUACAAAGUUAUAAUCUCAU